GUGACUGUGAGCAGGAGGCAGUCAGGGAGCAUUCAGCAGUACUGCCUGCAUUGCCUAGCUGCAUGGUCAUAACACAUCGUUGUCUGGGGCAAGAGGGCAGCAGGCCAUGCAUGAACACACAGACAGACAAGGGGAUAUAAUGGUGCUCAGUUACUCUUAGGAACUGGAGAGAGUUCAGCGUUCCACGUUUUCACUGCCAAACAGUCUCUGAAAACAGAAAGCGCUGAGACUCGUGUUUGCUUGCUCCUAUUCCAAGUUUUUGAUUCAUCUCAACCCAUUUUUCCCCCCAAACAUGGGGUGCUCCUCAUCCAGUGCACAGACCGUUGAUCAAGAAAAAAGACCAGGCACAAAGCCUGAGGAGAGCAAUGGAGACACAGUGGCAGUCAAAAACGGCAUCAUUGCAGAAGAUCCUCAAACCAUCGAGGACCAGAUGCAGCUUCCUGUGCAGACUGCGUUACCCGAUGAUCUUCAGAGGGGUGCUGAUGAUGAAGCUGAGGCUGUGUUAGUGGCCCUGGAGGCCCAAGAGGACCUUGGCUCUGGGGAGGACCUUCUAGCUGCUUCUGAGGUAAAGGAAGAACCUACUGCUACUGAAGAGACAGCGCCAGAGGCUGCUGCUUCUGCUCCUGCUUCUGCUCCUGCUCCUGCUGAGCCUGAGGCUGCUAUAGCAAUUGUUGAGGCACUACCCCUGGCUGAAGAAGCUGCUCCUGUAGAAACUGUAGAGGCAGAAGCCCCUCCUGAGGUUGAAGCUCCUGUUGAGACUGCAAAAGAGGCCCCUGCUGUUGAAUCAUCAGCUGAAGCGGUGCAGGCAGAGGCCUCUGCCAUCACUGAGGAGGUGGUUGCAGUGCCUGACGCUGAACCGGUUAUAUCUGAGCCAACUGUGAACCCAGUUAUUACAGAAGAGGCUUCAGCCGAGGCUGUGGGGGCGCCUGCUGAAGUGGCUGCACCUGCGCAGGCCUCAGCAGACAAUUCUGAACCAGAGGCUGCUUUACCUGCACCAAGCGAAGCUUUAACAAAAACACCAGCUGAGUCUUCAGCACCAGCUGAAAUUUCAGAACCAACUGAAGCUGCACCACCUGCUGAACCCUCGGUGCCUAUUGAAGCUGCAGAGCCGGUAAUAGACACAGAGAUUGCUGCUGCAACUAUCCCAGAGAUGCCAGCGUUACCUUCUGUCAGAGAUGAGACCAAAGCUGAGCCACAGCCUGCUGCCGAGGAGCCGACAGAACCUACUCCAGCUCCUGCUCCAGCAGAGGCACCCGGCACCGCAGAGGAUGCCCCUGCUCCAGCUUUAGGAGUUGAACCUGCUGCUACUGAGCCGGUCCAGAAUGCAGAGGUUCCAGCUCCUGCUCCAGCUGCUUCAGAAACCCCUUCUGGGGUAACCUCAGAAGCUCCACCAGCCUGUGUCACCCAAGAGUCCACUGCAGACAGUGUAGCAGCAGUGGAGGCUCCUGUGGUUGAGCCCACCCCUACAGAAACUGAAGCACCUUCAGCACCAGCCCCAUCUACCGAUCCAGCUCCUGAAGAUUCACCAGGUGGUAUGGACCAUUAAUGGCUCCAGAUUACCUUUUCUUACUUACCUUUUCUUUCUUACUUGUCAAAACAGAUUUUUGGCACAGUUUUGGCACAGUUCAUACUCUGCAAUUUGCCACGGCCACAUGCCCUGCAGAGUAAAACUAAUAAGAGCUGAAGGAUUACAACUGGGUUUUAGAGGAUGAUAGCUGCCACUGAGCCUCUUGAGGGAGUUUAUAAUGACAGGUUUUCUUGUUGAUUUAUUUACUUGACUAAACACAGAGUUGUUUCACUGAUUAACCUGUCACGCUAAAUUUCACGUCAACCCAUCAUCCUGAUGUUGGAGACAGUUUUUGGGUGGAGGUCAGGCGCAGCAGCAUUAUUGCCGGUUGAAAUAGCUGCAGAACUCUAUGCAAACAUGUGAUAGAUGCUGAGCAUGUAGGAACAAGCUCAGAGGGGGAUGAAAAAGCUGAGCAGAAACAAACCUGGUAAUGAGUAACAAAUGGACAAGAGUAUGUUUGCAUCCAAGUAAACAAUUAACGGUCUGUCAGGUGGUCAAACACCAGAUCUAUCUUGUUGCAACACAUUCGGCCAAAGCAAGAGACUUCUGGUAAUUAAACACACAUAUGGUUAAUAACCCCAAACUCUCCAUAUUCUAAUCAACCGUCCACACACUCCUCUGUGUACUAAUGUGACUGCUUGGAGCUGACAGGAUCAGCGGGCUAUUGUUGGGCUGUGAGGCCGAACAGAUAGUGCAGUGUGAGAAACAGAAAGCACACACACUCAGAAAGAGAAAUGAAGGCUCGUCUUGAGAGUGUCAAUUAUUGCACAACAGCUCCAGUCAGGCAACUCUCACUCAUUGUGCUCUGUUAUGCACUGUCUACAGACCGAUCAUGCCCUGCUGCUUUCAAUUAUACGACUAUUAAAACACACUGAAGUUCAUCCUGCAAAUUUGUGAAGAAAAAUCAUUUUAAGGGCUCAUUUUGAAAGAAAAAUUGAGUCAACUUGAUUUUGAAUGCACGGUGAUUUGCUCCACUCUAACAAGCAGGAUUUUAUACCUAUACAUUUCAUUACAAUGUGCAGUGACUGAGUUAAAACUUCAGAAAGUAAGCCUUUACAUCUCUACACUUUCUCUACACUUUACUGGGUAACCUUGCAUAUUAAAUCAUAAUGUGCACCUCCAGUUGUCACCAGUGCUUUGCAAGGCCUUGCACACACGAUCUCUUUUUUGACCUUCACCCGACUCUUUAUGUUCAGAGAACAUGUUGUACUUUCAGGAUAGAAACAAGCCUCCACGCAGCAUGAGACGAAUGGACUUCUGGCAUGGAAGACGUGCUGUACUGCAUAAUUUUUAUGAGAAUUUUUUGCUCGAGGCUAUGUACUAGUUUCUGUGUUUCACGUUUAUAUAUCCUGGUUGGGACUUCAAUCUAACUGCACAUGUAAGAAUGAGAGGGGCUGUAAGGACAAUAAAAGCACAAAAAAGCUGUUUAUUUAAUGGUUAAGAAUUAGUUUUAGGGUAAGACACUAAGGUAUGCAUUAUUUCACUGAAUACCCUCCACAAGGAUAUAGAAGCAAAUGUGUGUGUACAUUGUAGUAACUUGUAAACGAGUUCAGAGGGACUCAUGCUGUUUUGUAUUGGUUAUAAAUUUGGCAGUUAUAAAUCCUCAGAGCCAGUCAGUUUUGACAUUAUCAUAGUUAAUGAAAAUGCCAUGCUAAUGUUUGUGUCUACAUAUAUAUGCAGUGGAGUCUGCAAGCGAGGUGUCUCAGGAUACAGAGGGUGAGAAAGCCAAAAAGGAGGACUGAGUUGGUAAGAGCACAGCCACAAACCAAACUAUAAUCCAGUGCAAACUCUGAAGGAUUAGACUUUUCUCUGCAGUCAGUGCAUACUUGUAAAAAAUAGUCUCCUACAGGUGGACUGGAUGCAUUUUGGUAGAAAAAACAGAAUUAAGUUGAAUUCUGUUUAUACUCAGUUACAAAGAUAAACUUGAAGAGUGAAAGUGUGAGUCAGAUGCUGAAGUGCUGACAUGUUUUUUUCUUUUCCUUUUAGAGAGGAAAGAAUGCAACAAAACGCCCAAAGCUACCACUGUAAACCUACUGGAAGGAGGACAAGAUGAAGUAAACAGAAGAAUAAAACAACUGAUUUUCAGUUUUGUCUCAUCAGCACUCACCAAACACCACAUUUCCUAAUAUUCACUGUGCCUUAAAAGCUUUCCUAAGAAUCUUUCCCAUAUUUGUAUAUAAACCUUUUCAGGAGAGGAACGGGAGGAGUAUGUGUUUUUUAAUGGGAAAUCAAGUCUCUGGAUCCACGUACUACACAUGUGGCCUGUGACAAGAGGGUGCAAUCCUCUGUAAAAUCUGUCAACUCUUGCUAGCAACUCUUUUGAGUUUUGAAUGGCAGUGUGCUGAAAUACAGGGAAGGAUACUCGGUUAUUUAAAGAAGCUGCUUCUGAGGAAUACAGCUGUGAAUAAAAAAACUUAAAGAACUCAAAACUGACAAGAAUACAAACCUGGAAUGACACACACUGGCUAGGUGUACACUGUACUUAGGCUGUAUUAAACUGAUUUGUAAUUGGUUGAAUUUCUAGUUUAUAAUUCUGACAUUAAACCAUAUAUUUUUGUUAACUGUUUGCACAUUAAUUGCAGCCUUUCCAAAGGGGCUCAUUUAUUCAAUAGGAAUGACAGUAAUAAGUGUUGAGUAACUCGGCACACAUGGUUUCAAUAUUUCAACAUUUAAUUGGUUCACAUUAAAGUGUUUUGAUUUGCUUAAAUGAAAAGUGGGCAAAGAUCACGUAUGCAGAGGGUUAGCACUUAUAUAUACUUUUAUAAUCAGUCGUUGGCGGGUUAAGGAUACAGACGAGGCCAUGUUGCUGUUCUGUGAAACCCUUCUGUGGUUGCUCCGUAGCUGGUGGGUGUUUGUGAACUUCUCUUUCUUAAAGUAAUGAACCUUCCAACAAAAGGAACUUCGGGGUAACACUGAUGUCAUACGCUUGUCAGUUUUAGAUUGAGGGCAUUACACUGCAUUGCCUAGUGGGCAGAAUAUGUAACUAAUUAGUUCUACAUGCUGAGUUUAAAAGUGUAAGGGCAUUAGAAAAUUACUGCAACCUCAUAAGAUGUGAUGAUGCUUUGGGAACAAAUUUUGUUUUGAUCUUUUUCAUUUUACUUCUCACUCCCUGUAAUAUAUUCAUUUUCUCUGACCGUGUCUAUGAUUCUGCUAACCUGUUAGUGUACAGAAUAAAGUUUUACUCACUAAUACUCUGUCUCUGUAACUGAAUUGUGACUGGAGAUUAUAUUGGCUUUUAGUAUAUGGUGACCACAGUCUCUCCAAGACCCCAGUGCAUACUGUAGUGUGUUUAGAGAAGCAUACGUACUUAAAACCACUCAAGCAUAAGACAUCUGAACAGUCACAAUACUCUGUUGCUGUAUUAGAGUGUGGCGCUGGGGAUAAAAGGCGCCCUGGUCCGACUACAUCCUUUAAAUGAAUUCAGGCUUUGCAUACGAGCUGCUCGCUGCU
Astatotilapia calliptera (eastern happy) is the source of this 5017-nucleotide long non-coding RNA. The record is from Ensembl. Lineage: Eukaryota; Metazoa; Chordata; Actinopteri; Cichliformes; Cichlidae.